ACGGAGGGUGCAAGCGUUAAUCGGAAUUACUGGGCGUAAAGCGCACGCAGGCGGUUUGUUAAGUCAGAUGUGAAAUCCCCGGGCUCAACCUUGGAACUGCAUCGGAUACUGGCAAGCUUGAGUCUCGUAGAGGGGGGUAGAAUUCCAGGUGUAGCGGUGAAAUGCGUAGAGAUCUGGAGGAAUACCGGUGGCGAAGGCGAUCUCCUGGACGAUUACUGACGCUGAGGUGCGAAAGCGUGGGGAGCAAACAG
This 251-nucleotide ribosomal RNA is filed under the name uncultured prokaryote. RNAcentral describes it as "partial 16S rRNA". It matches the Rfam family "Bacterial small subunit ribosomal RNA", at positions 525 to 775 of the family's 1533-position model. The record is from RNAcentral.